GUGACUAACCUACCUUUGAGUGGGGAAUAACUUCGGGAAACCGAGGCUAAUACCGCAUAACACCGAGAGGUCAAAGGAGCAAUCCGCUUAAAGAGGGGGUCGCGGCUGAUUAGCUAGUUGGUAAGGUAAUGGCUUACCAAGGCAAUGAUCAGUAUCCGGCCUGAGAGGGCGCACGGACACACUGGAACUGAAACACAGUCCAGACUCCUACGGGAGGCAGCAGUGGGGAAUUUUGCACAAUGGGGGAAACCCUGAUGCAGCAACGCCGCGUGGAGGGUGAAGCCCUUUGGGGCGUAAACUCCUUUCGAUCGGGACGAUUAUGACGGUACCGGAAGAAGAAGCACCGGCUAACUCUGUGCCAGCAGCCGCGGUAAUACAGAGGGUGCAAGCGUUGUUCGGAAUUAUUGGGCGUAAAGGGUGCGUAGGCGGUGCGGUAAGUCUUUUGUGAAAUCUCCGGGCUC
RNAcentral lists this ribosomal RNA (461 nucleotides) under uncultured bacterium. RNAcentral's name for it is "bacterial SSU rRNA". It matches the Rfam family "Bacterial small subunit ribosomal RNA", at positions 117 to 610 of the family's 1533-position model. The record is from RNAcentral.